RNAcentral lists this ribosomal RNA (467 nucleotides) under uncultured bacterium. RNAcentral's name for it is "partial 16S ribosomal RNA". It matches the Rfam family "Bacterial small subunit ribosomal RNA", at positions 28 to 507 of the family's 1533-position model. The record is from RNAcentral.
GACGAACGCUGGCGGCGUGCUUAACACAUGCAAGUCGAACGGAAAGGCCCUGCUUUUGUGGGGUGCUCGAGUGGCGAACGGGUGAGUAACACGUGAGUAACCUGCCCUUUACUUUGGGAUAACUUCAGGAAACUGGGGCUAAUACCGGAUAGGAGCUCCUGCUGCAUGGUGGGGGUUGGAAAGUUUCGGCGGUUGGGGAUGAACUCGCGGCUUAUCAGCUUGUUGGUGGGGUAGUGGCUUACCAAGGCUUUGACGGGUAGCCGGCCUGAGAGGGUGACCGGCCAAAGGGGAAUUAGGAAAGGACCAGGAGGCUAAGGGGGGCAAGAGGGGGGAAAAAGGGAAAAAGGGGCGGAGGCUGGAGGGAGCAACGCCGGGUGGGGAAGAACGGCAUUGGGGUUGUAAACGGAUUAAGCUGGGAACGAACGGUGGGGAAGGUAAAGGGGGAAAAAAGAACGGCUAAAUUAGUG